This 253-nucleotide ribosomal RNA is filed under the name uncultured bacterium. RNAcentral's name for it is "partial 16S ribosomal RNA". It matches the Rfam family "Bacterial small subunit ribosomal RNA", at positions 524 to 776 of the family's 1533-position model. The record is from RNAcentral.
UACGUAGGUGGCAAGCGUUGUCCGGAUUUAUUGGGUUUAAAGGGUGCGUAGGCGGCUUUGUAAGUCAGUGGUGAGAUACUCCAGCUCAACUGGAGAGGUGCCAUUGAUACUGCAGAGCUAGAGUACUGAUGAGGUAGGCGGAAUGGACGGUGUAGCGGUGAAAUGCUUAGAUAUCGUCCAGAACACCGAUAGCGAAGGCAGCUUACUAAAGAGUAACUGACGCUGAGGCACGAAAGUGUGGGGAUCAAACAGG